AUGCGGUACGACUUGCCGUCAUGCAUCCUAACAUGCUGCUGCUCCUCGUCCCCGUCCUCCUCCUCUGCUUCCUCAAUCUCUGUUUCUGCCGCAGCAUGCUCUUCGACAUUGCCUUCAGAACUCCCAUGCCGACGCCGCCGCUGGCCCUCUAGACGCUGCUCGUCCUGCUCGGCAAGCAGGCGGCUGAUGUUGCGGCUCUUGGACAUGAGCAGGAACUGCGCGCGCAAGCACCAACUUCUCCGCGGAAUUUCGUCGAGCACAGAUUUAAUUCAGGUGGGGGUUCAUGUGGGGGGUAACUGCAGGUUGAAUCAGUGA
RNAcentral lists this ribosomal RNA (315 nucleotides) under Triticum aestivum (bread wheat). RNAcentral describes it as "partial small subunit ribosomal RNA". Lineage: Eukaryota; Viridiplantae; Streptophyta; Magnoliopsida; Poales; Poaceae. The record is from RNAcentral.